Molecule: long non-coding RNA, 333 nt
Filed under: Gossypium raimondii (Peruvian cotton)
Lineage: Eukaryota; Viridiplantae; Streptophyta; Magnoliopsida; Malvales; Malvaceae
Description: long non-coding RNA (GRAI_LNC007123)
Source: RNAcentral
CAUUUCCUCUUCUUCCCACUGCUUCCUUGGUACGAAUCAUCAUUGGACGUGGUCGAGGAAGAGGUGGAAGUGGAGAAAAGAUUGGAUGAAAUAUUAAAGAAACAAGGAUUAAUGGAAUGGAGAGGAGGAACCGGUUGGGUAGACAAGGUAGGGUUGAUGGAAGGUACAGUGGCAUGGGAUUGAGGUACAUUGGUAGGGUUCAUGACAGAAGCGGACGUUGGGGUUGGAGUUUGAGGUUUAGGAGGUGACAGUGGAUGAAGUGAAUGAAGGUUUUGAAAGGCUUCUAAUUCAUCAAAGAAACGAUAAGUCUUGGUCUUGCCAUCAGCUUUGCUG